GCUGUGAUGGCGGAAUGGUUAAGGCACUGGACUGGAAAUCCAGUGGGGUUUGCUCAGGCAGGUUCAAAUCCUGCUCACAGC
Molecule: transfer RNA, 81 nt
Filed under: Cervus elaphus hippelaphus
Lineage: Eukaryota; Metazoa; Chordata; Mammalia; Artiodactyla; Cervidae
Description: tRNA-Ser
Rfam family: tRNA
About the family: Transfer RNA (tRNA) molecules are approximately 80 nucleotides in length. Their secondary structure includes four short double-helical elements and three loops (D, anti-codon, and T loops).
Source: RNAcentral